CGUCGACGGGUAGCCGGCCUGAGAGGGUGACCGGCCACACUGGGACUGAGACACGGCCCAGACUCCUACGGGAGGCAGCAGUGGGGAAUAUUGCACAAUGGGCGCAAGCCUGAUGCAGCAACGCCGCGUGAGGGAUGACGGCCUUCGGGUUGUAAACCUCUUUUAGCAGGGAAGAAGCGAGAGUGACGGUACCUGCAGAAAAAGCGCCGGCUAACUACGUGCCAGCAGCCGCGGUAAUACGUAGGGCGCAAGCGUUAUCCGGAAUUAUUGGGCGUAAAGAGCUCGUAGGCGGUUUGUCGCGUCUGCUGUGAAAUCCCGAGGCUCAACCUCGGGCCUGCAGUGGGUACGGGCAGACUAGAGUGCGGUAGGGGAGAUUGGAAUUCCUGGUGUAGCGGUGGAAUGCGCAGAUAUCAGGAGGAACACCGAUGGCGAAGGCAGAUCUCUGGGCCGUAACUGACGCUGAGGAGCGAAAGGGUGGGGAGCAAACAGGCUUAGAUACCCUGGUAGUCCACCCCGUAAACGUUGGGAACUAGUUGUGGGGUCCUUUCCACGGAUUCCGUGACGCAGCUAACGCAUUAAGUUCCCCGCCUGGGGAAGUACGGA
RNAcentral lists this ribosomal RNA (603 nucleotides) under Microbacterium sp. RNAcentral describes it as "bacterial SSU rRNA". It matches the Rfam family "Bacterial small subunit ribosomal RNA", at positions 274 to 886 of the family's 1533-position model. The record is from RNAcentral. Lineage: Bacteria; Bacillati; Actinomycetota; Actinomycetes; Micrococcales; Microbacteriaceae.